This 245-nucleotide ribosomal RNA is filed under the name uncultured bacterium. RNAcentral describes it as "partial 16S ribosomal RNA". It matches the Rfam family "Bacterial small subunit ribosomal RNA", at positions 524 to 768 of the family's 1533-position model. The record is from RNAcentral.
UACGAAGGGGGCGAGCGUUGUUCGGAAUGACUGGGCGUAAAGGGCGCGCAGGCGGCCCGCCGAGUCGGGUGUGAAAGCCCCGGGCUCAACCCGGGAACGGCACUCGAGACUGGCGGGCUGGAGGGCGGGAGAGGAGAGCGGAAUUCCCAGUGGAGAGGUGAAAUUCGUAGAUAUUGGGAAGAACACCGGUGGCGAAGGCGGCUCUCUGGACCGCCCCUGACGCUGAGGCGCGACAGCGUGGGGAG